ACGGAGGGGGCAAGCGUUGUUCGGAAUCACUGGGCGUAAAGCGCACGUAGGCGGACCAAUCAGUUGGGGGUGAAAGCCCGGAGCUCAACUCCGGAACUGCCUUCAAUACUGUUGGUCUUGAGGUCGAGAGAGGUAAGCGGAAUUCCGAGUGUAGAGGUGAAAUUCGUAGAUAUUCGGAAGAACACCAGUGGCGAAGGCGGCUUACUGGCUCGAUACUGACGCUGAGGUGCGAAAGCGUGGGGAGCAAACAGG
This 252-nucleotide ribosomal RNA is filed under the name uncultured bacterium. Its description in RNAcentral is "partial 16S ribosomal RNA". It matches the Rfam family "Bacterial small subunit ribosomal RNA", at positions 525 to 776 of the family's 1533-position model. The record is from RNAcentral.